Molecule: ribosomal RNA, 216 nt
Filed under: Escherichia coli
Lineage: Bacteria; Pseudomonadati; Pseudomonadota; Gammaproteobacteria; Enterobacterales; Enterobacteriaceae
Description: partial 23S ribosomal RNA
Rfam family: Bacterial large subunit ribosomal RNA
Source: RNAcentral
UGGCACUGCCCGGUAGCUAAAUGCGGAAGAGAUAAGUGCUGAAAGCAUCUAAGCACGAAACUUGCCCCGAGAUGAGUUCUCCCUGACUCCUUGAGAGUCCUGAAGGAACGUUGAAGACGACGACGUUGAUAGGCCGGGUGUGUAAGCGCAGCGAUGCGUUGAGCUAACCGGUACUAAUGAACCGUGAGGCUUAACCUUACAACGCCGAAGGUGUUU